GUGGAGUGGGAGGGUAUGAAGGAUUGAAAGCAAGAGGAUUUGCAUAUUGCUUUGAUAGGCAGUGCUGAGAGAGAGAGAGAGAGAUAGAGAGAGAGAGAGAGAGUUCAGUCCGUGCUGGCAGAGGUAAAGCAUGGCGUGUUGCUCUAACAGCCUUGUCUCCCAUUAGGAGGAGUAGCAGCGUGGUUUAGCGGAAGUGGGGAGGCAGUCUGAGCUGGGGUAUGGGGGACACGGGGGAGAGGAAGGUAUGAGGAGAUGAGAGGAGGGUAGAUGAGAGGAGGGAGGGAGGGAAGGGAGGAGAGAGGGAGAGAGAGGAGAAAGAGGGGGUAGAGGUGAGAGAGAGGGAGAGAGAGAGGGGGGGGUAGAGGAGAGAGGGUUAUCCUAGCAGCAGCAGUGAAGUCUGGCAUGUCCCCUACCGCUGGGAGCCGUCCUCUGAAACGGGAAAGAUGAUUUUGGGGCCCUUUCCUUUAAGCAGCCUGCCAUACUGGAAUCAGCCAGUAGUGCUGGAGUUGGUCUGGGAUGUGCUUAGCUUUUUAAAUGAAUGUGUUAGCUAGUACCCAACAUGGGGCAGGCUACUGGCAGCAUCAACACAGCUAGAUUAGGGGGCAGGCUACUGGCCGCAUCAAUACAGCUAGACUAGGUGGCAGGUUACUGGCAGCAUCAACACAGCUAGACUAAGGGGCAGGUUACUGGCAGCAUCAACACAGCUAGAUUAGGGGGCAGGCUACUGGACGCAUCAACACAGCUAGACUAAGGGGCAGGUUACUGGCAGCAUCAACACAGCUAGACUAGGGGGCAGGUUACUGGCAGCAUCAACACAGCUAGAUUAGGGGGCAGGAUCCUGGCAGCAUCAACACAGCUAGACUAGGGGGCAGGUUACUGGCAGCAUCAACACAGCUAGACUAGGGAGCAGGUUACUGACAGCAGCAUCACCACAGCUAGACCAGGGGGCAGGUUACUGACAGCAUCAACACAGCUAGACUAAGGGGCAGGUUACUGGCAGCAUCACCACAGCUAGACUAGGGGGCAGGUUACUGGCAGCAUCAACACAGCUAGACUAGGGGUCAGGAUCCUGUCCGCAUCAACACAGCUAGACUAGGGGGCAGGCUACUGGCAGCAUCAACACAGCUAGACUAGGGGGCAGGUUACUGGCAGCAUCAACACAGCUAGACUAGGGGGCAGGUUACUGGCAGCAUCAACACAGCUAGACUAGGGGGCAGGUUACUGACAGCAUCAACACAGCUAGACUAAGGGGCAGGUUACUGGCAGCAUCAACACAGCUAGACUAGGGGGCAGGUUACUGACAGCACCAACACAGCUAGACUAGGGGCAGGUUACUGACAGCAUCAACACAGCUAGACUACAAACUGUUUCUGGAGAGGCAGAACUGAGUGGGUCAUGAUGAGUGGAGUCAUUCUAAAACCCUCUACUGCUAAUGAUUGGACUUAUUGUAAAGCUCCAGGGCCUGGAUAGACAUGUUGCCUAGCAGUCCACUGACUGACUGACUGGAACAGACUACGAUGUACUGUAGCAGCAGCCCAAACAACCUAUUCAGGCAUCAACAGGCCUUCAGCCAGCGGUCCCAGAGUCAGUCAUGAGGAAUAUUAGGAGAUGGAGAGUGUUUGUGUGUGUGUGUGUGUGUGUGUGUGUGUGUGUGUGUGUGUGUGUGUGUGUGUGUGUGUGUGUGUGUGUGUGUGUGUGUGUGUGUGUGUGUGUGUGUGUGUGUGUGUGUGUGUGUGUGUGUGUGUGUGUGUGUAGGGACAGUACUAGCAGAUGAGUGUGUCAGUGUGUGUGUGCAGUGGUGGGGGGAUGGGGGAUAGUGACAAGGGUCUGUAUCCUAUGAGCAAAUAUUGCUCUGCUUGAGGGUUUUGCUGAGGUCGAUAAGGCCUAUAUUUACUGACAGAGAGAGAUGUGUAUUAAUUUAUUCCACGGAGGGCAGUUAAUCAGAGCAUUCUAGAUACACUGACAUGGUUCUCUGCUGGGGGUGGGGUCAGAGGCAGGGAGGACAGGGACUGUGACUUUUAUCUCCAGGGUGCAUGGGGGGUUGAUGGGGUCAUGUGCUGUGCUCUGAUAGUGAGAGGCAAACGUGGGGGAGGAGGGGAAGACGAGGGGAGGAGGGAUGGAGAGCGAUCUUCAGGCAGCUCAAAGAACGUCAAGGAAAAACGGGUGAAGGGAGAAUGACAGAGAGAGGGUAGGAGAGAGAGGGAAGCAGAUGGAGGGGGAGAGAGAGAGACAGGCAGAGAGAGAGAGAGAAAGAGAAAGUGCAUUCUCAGCUGGGUCAGCAUUAGUGCUGUGUUAGUGCUUCCUGUGCCAAGGAGAGGAAUAAACGUGGACAAUUGGAGGGAGGGGAGGGAGAGAAAACACAGCUGGGGCCAGGGAGGGCAUCCACUUAAAGACAGUUCAAUAGAAAUGAGUGAAAGAAGAGGGAAAGGAGGGAAGAAGGAGGAGAAGAGAGAGGUGAGAGUCAGUUUGACCCUUUCUCCUCUAGUCCAUGCCCCUCUCCUCCUCUCUCUCCUCCUCCAGUCCCAAAGGUUAAUUUGAUGCUAAUAUGGCCUAUAUUGUGAGGACGAUCGUUAUCUUAGGCUCAGGCUCUGAACUUUACCUGCAGGCCAUUGGAAGGAGCUGGAGGGGGAGCCAUUGGAAGGAGCUGGAGGGGGAGCAAUUAGAAGGAGCUGGAGGGGCAUCCAUUGGAAGGAGCUGGAGGGGGAUCCAUUGGAAGGAGCUGGAGGGGGAGCAAUUAGAAGGAGCUGGAGGGGCAUCCAUUGGAAGGAGCUGGAGGGGGAUCCAUUGGGAGGAGCUGGAGGGGGAGCCAUUGGAAGGAGCUGGAGGGGGAGCAAUUAGAAGGAGCUGGAGGGGCAUCCAUUGGAAGGAGCUGGAGGGGGAUCCAUUGGGAGGAGCUGGAGGGGGAUCCAUUGGAAGGAGCUGGAGGGGGAUCCAUUGGGAGGAGCUGGAGGGGGAUCCAUUGGAAGGAGCUGGAGGGGGAGCCAUUGGAAGGAGCUGGAGGGGGAUCCAUUGGAAGGAGCUGGAGGGGGAUCCAUUGGGAGGAGCUGGAGGGGGAUCCAUUGGAAGGAGCUGGAGGGGGAUCCAUUGGGAGGAGCUGGAGGGGGAUCCAUUGGAAGGAGCUGGAGGGGGAUCCAUUGGAAGGAGCUGGAGGGGGAUCCAUUGGAAGGAACUGGAGGGGGAGCCAUUGGAAGGAGCUGGAGGGGGAGCCAUUGGAAGGAGCUGGAGGGGGAGCCAUUGGGAGGAGCUGGAGGGGGAUCCAUUGGAAGGAGCUGGAGGGGGAGCCCUUGGAAGGAGCUGGAGGGGGAUCCCUUGGAAGGAGCUGGAGGGGGAGCCAUUGGAAGGUGCUGGAGGGGGAGCCCUUGGAAGGAGCUGGAGGGGGAGCCCUUGGAAGGAGCUGGAGGGGGAGCCAUUGGAAGGAGCUGGAGGGGGAGCAAUUAGAAGGGCACUAGAGGAGGAGCCAUUGGAAGGUGCUGGAGGGGGAGCCCUUGGAAGGAGAUGAAGGGGGGUAGUGGCGUGCGGGACAGCUGUGUAUUUGACACAAUCUGCCAUUGCAUUGGUUAGUCCUGUUUGGGAUUAAUUCUGUUCUGAAAAUAUCCAUUAUAUUGCUUAACCAGUAGACUUACUGCAUGUAGCAAUUAUGCUGUAUUACUGUUUACUAUGGUGAAGUCUGUCUAUCUGAUGUCCUUUUAGUGACAAUAACGAUGAUCUUGUCACGUCCUGACCAGUAAAAGGGGUUAUUUGUUAUUGUAGUUUGGUCAGGGCGUGGCAGGGGGUGUUUGUUUUGUGUGUUUCGGUGUUUUUGGUUUAUGUUCUAUGUUAUCUAUUUCUAUGUGUUUAUCUAGUUUUCUAUUUCUAUGUUGGUUUUUGGCAAUGACCUCCAAUUAGAGGCAGCUGGUUGUUGUUGUCUCUAAUUGGAGGCCAUAUUUAGUUGGGUUUGUUUUCUCUUGUGUUUUGUGGGUGGUUGUUUCCAGUAUAGUCUGUGCACCUUACUGGACUGUUUUCGUCGUCAGUUUAUUUUGUUUAAGUGUUUUCUUUAAUAAAGAAAGAAGAUGAGCACUUUACCCGCUGCGUUUUGGUCCAAUCCUUACGACGCCCGUGACAGAACCACCCACCAAACAAAGACCAAACAGCGGGGAUUGGAGCACCAAACAAGGACCAAGCAGUGGGGAUUGGAGCACCAAACAAGGACCAAGCAGCGGGGAUUGGAGCACCGAAGAGAAGGAUGGACGUGGGAGGCAGAACAAUGUUUCUGGGAGAGGAAACUAAGGGAGCUAGAUGAGGCCGAGAGGCAUCCCCCCCCCAAAAAAAAAAUGGGGGGGGGGGCACACGGGGAGUUGGGCAGAGUCAGGAUGGAGACCUGAGCCAACUCCCCAUGCUUAUUAUGCGGAGAUACGCGGAGAUACGCACUGUGUCGCCCAUACGCAUGCACAGUCCGGUGCGGUCAAUAAGGGCUCCGCAACGUUGCCAGGCGAGAGUUAGCCGGCAGCCAGGGAGAAGUGCGCCGGCGCAGCGCAUCUGGCCACCAGUGCAUCUCCUCGGUUCAGUUUACCCUGUUCCUGCUCCUCGCACUAGCCCUGAUGUGCGUGUUACUAGGCUGGCGCCUCCAACACCAGCCCCACGCAUCAGGCCUCAGUGCGCCUGCCCAGUCCAGUACGUCAUGUUCCCGCUCCUCGCACUAGCCCUGAGGUGCGUGUCACUAGUCUGGCUCCUCCAAAGCCAGCCCCACGCAUCAGGCCUCUAGUGCACCUGCCCAGUCCAGUACGUCCAGUUCCUGCUCCCCGCACGAGCCAUGAGGUGCGUGUUACUAGUCUGGCGCCUCCUAAGCCAGCCCCACGCAUCAGGCCUCUAGUGCGCCUGCCCAGUCCAGUACGUCCUGUUCCUGCUCCCUGCACUAGCCAUGAGGUGCGUGUUACUAGUCUGGCGCCUCCAAAGCCAGCCCCACGCCUCAGGCUUCCAGUGCGCCUGCCCAGUCCGGUACGUCCUGUUC
Molecule: long non-coding RNA, 4987 nt
Filed under: Salmo salar (Atlantic salmon)
Lineage: Eukaryota; Metazoa; Chordata; Actinopteri; Salmoniformes; Salmonidae
Description: lncRNA (ENSSSAG00000111267.1)
Source: RNAcentral